RNAcentral lists this ribosomal RNA (536 nucleotides) under uncultured crenarchaeote. RNAcentral's name for it is "bacterial SSU rRNA". It matches the Rfam family "Archaeal small subunit ribosomal RNA", at positions 321 to 859 of the family's 1478-position model. The record is from RNAcentral. Lineage: Archaea; Thermoproteati; Thermoproteota.
CCCUAUGGGGCGCAGCAGGCGCGAAACCUCUGCAAUAAGCGAAAGCUUGACAGGGUUACUCUGAGUGAUUUCCGCUAAGGAAGUCUUUUGGCACCUCUAAAAUGGUGCAGAAUAAGGGGUGGGCAAGUCUGGUGUCAGCCGCCGCGGUAAUACCAGCACCCCGAGUGGUCGGGACGAUUAUUGGGCCUAAAGCAUCCGUAGCCGGUCCUGCAAGUCCUCCGUUAAAUCCACCCGCUCAACGGUUGGGCCGCGGGGGAUACUACAGGGCUAGGAGGCGGGAGAGGCAAGCGGGUACUCGAUGGGUAGGGGUAAAAUCCACUGAUCCAUUGAAGACCACCAGUGGCGAAGGCGGCUUGCCAGAACGCGCUCGACGGUGAGGGAUGAAAGCUGGGGGAGCAAACCGGAUUAGAUACCCGGGUAGUCCCAGCUGUAAACGAUGCAGACUCGGUGAUGGGCUGGCUUCGGGCCAACCCGGUGCCGCAGGGAAGCCGUUAAGUCUACCGCCUGGGGAGUACGGUCGCAAGACUGAAACUUAA